GGGUUGUGAGGUUAAGCGACUAAGCGUACACGGUGGAUGCCCUGGCAGUCAGAGGCGAUGAAGGGCGUGCUAAUCUGCGAUAAGCGCCGGUAAGGUGAUAUGAACCGUUAUAACCGGCGAUACCCGAAUGGGGAAACCCAGUGUGAUUCGUCACACUAUCAUUAACUGAAUCCAUAGGUUAAUGAGGCGAACCGGGGGAACUGAAACAUCUAAGUACCCCGAGGAAAAGAAAUCAACCGAGAUUCCCCCAGUAGCGGCGAGCGAACGGGGAGGAGCCCAGAGCCUGAAUCAGCAUGUGUGUUAGUGGAAGCGUCUGGAAAGGCGCGCGAUACAGGGUGACAGCCCCGUACACAAAAGCGCAUGUGCUGUGAGCUCGAUGAGUAGGGCGGGACACGUGGUAUCCUGUCUGAAUAUGGGGGGACCAUCCUCCAAGGCUAAAUACUCCUGACUGACCGAUAGUGAACCAGUACCGUGAGGGAAAGGCGAAAAGAACCCCGGCGAGGGGAGUGAAAAAGAACCUGAAACCGUGUACGUACAAGCAGUGGGAGCACCUUUGGGUGUGACUGCGUACCUUUUGUAUAAUGGGUCAGCGACUUAUAUUCUGUAGCAAGGUUAACCGCAUAGGGGAGCCGGAGGGAAACCGAGUCUUAAUUGGGCGUUAAGUUGCAGGGUAUAGACCCGAAACCCGGUGAUCUAGCCAUGGGCAGGUUGAAGGUUGGGUAACACUAACUGGAGGACCGAACCGACUAAUGUUGAAAAAUUAGCGGAUGACCUGUGGCUGGGGGUGAAAGGCCAAUCAAACCGGGAGAUAGCUGGUUCUCCCCGAAAGCUAUUUAGGUAGCGCCUCGUGAAUUCAUCUCCGGGGGUAGAGCACUGUUUCGGCUAGGGGGCCAUCCCGGCUUACCAACCCGAUGCAAACUGCGAAUACCGGAGAAUGUUAUCACGGGAGACACACGGCGGGUGCUAACGUCCGUCGUGAAGAGGGAAACAACCCAGACCGCCAGCUAAGGUCCCAAAGUCAUGGUUAAGUGGGAAACGAUGUGGGAAGGCCCAGACAGCCAGGAUGUUGGCUUAGAAGCAGCCAUCAUUUAAAGAAAGCGUAAUAGCUCACUGGUCGAGUCGGCCUGCGCGGAAGAUGUAACGGGGCUAAACCAUGCACCGAAGCUGCGGCAGCGACGCUUAUGCGUUGUUGGGUAGGGGAGCGUUCUGUAAGCCUGCGAAGGUGGCCUGUGAGGGUUGCUGGAGGUAUCAGAAGUGCGAAUGCUGACAUAAGUAACGAUAAAGCGGGUGAAAAGCCCGCUCGCCGGAAGACCAAGGGUUCCUGUCCAACGUUAAUCGGGGCAGG
RNAcentral lists this ribosomal RNA (1345 nucleotides) under Salmonella enterica subsp. enterica serovar Braenderup. RNAcentral describes it as "bacterial LSU rRNA". It matches the Rfam family "Bacterial large subunit ribosomal RNA", at positions 1 to 1378 of the family's 2925-position model. The record is from RNAcentral. Lineage: Bacteria; Pseudomonadati; Pseudomonadota; Gammaproteobacteria; Enterobacterales; Enterobacteriaceae.